Molecule: ribosomal RNA, 460 nt
Filed under: uncultured bacterium
Lineage: Bacteria
Description: partial 16S ribosomal RNA
Rfam family: Bacterial small subunit ribosomal RNA
Source: RNAcentral
CCUACGUGAGGCUGCAGUGAGGAAUAUUGGUCACUGGGCGCGAGCCUGAACCAGCCAAGUCGCGUGAGGGAGGACGGCCCUCCGGGUUGUAAACCUCUUUUGCCGGGGAGCAACGGGCGUCACGUGUGGCGCCACUGAGAGUACCCGGCGAAACAGCAUCGGCUAACUCCGUGCCAGCAGCCGCGGUAAUACGGGGGAUGCGAGCGUUAUCCGGAUUUAUUGGGGUUACAGGGUGCGUCGGCGGAUCGUUAAGUCAGUGGUAAAAUUGAGGGGCUCAACCCCUUCCCGCCAUUGAAACUGGCGCUCUUGAGUGGAAGAGAGGUAUGCGGAAUGCGUGGUGUAGCGGUGAAAUGCAUAGAUAUCACGCAGAACACCGAUGGCGAAGGCAGCAUGCCGGCUUCCGACUGACGCUGAAGCACGAAAGCGUGGGGAUCGAACAGGAUUAGAUACCCGUGUAGUC